GAGAAAGCGAAACCUUGUCUACCUUCUGAAAUGGAACAGUCCAUUUUGCUUACCGGAGGUCGUCUUAUCUAUCACGUGCGCGUAACUCUGUAAACAAACAGGAGCAGAAGUUAGCAAAGAGUUGGAGCAACUGGAUGGAGCUGAGCGUUUACUGACCAGAUGCCCUUCCUGAUGCCUACGCAGAAUUCAUAAAAGAUUUUUUUUCUUUGUGCCUUUGGAGAGAAACAUCUGUUGCUACCUAGGAUUGAAUUCUCAAUCUUAUGGGAGCUAUGCUCCAGACAGGUUCUUGGAACCUCUACCUUGAAAUCUGACCCAGGUGAUUCACUCCAAAGGGACACCAGCAAUAAACAGUAUGAAAGAUGAAUUUUUAAUGAAGCAUACCAAUAAAUCUGUCAUGCCCCAAAAAUCACGGAUAUCUUGCAAAGUGUCCUAGUUUCAUGUGCCAGGCAUCAUUUGUUACAGGAUGUCACAUCUUCCCACCUGAAGCCCCAAAUGGUUAGGCCUAGAAGCCACUUUUUUUUCUCUCCUUCUGUUGCUAUUUUAUGCAAUAAAACACCAAAGCUAUCUGCAACAGGGAUCAGAAGUGGCAGCUGGUUUGUGAAAUCCAGACAAGAGUCAAGAAAAGAAAAAACAAGGGGCUCCUUUGCUAAAGGCUUUGGUGAAUCUUUUGUCCGGCAAUUAAUCUGCAGCAAUUUGGAACUUGCAUGCAGUAUGAACAACCCAUCUGAAACAAUA
Molecule: long non-coding RNA, 735 nt
Organism: Ahaetulla prasina
Lineage: Eukaryota; Metazoa; Chordata; Lepidosauria; Squamata; Colubridae
Exons: 6
Source: RefSeq, a predicted model, not a curated record